CAUAUUAAUUUUAAUCAACCAAAAAUUAGUUUAAAAAAUACUUGGUCCUUUCGUACUAAAGUAUUAUAUAAAAUUAAAGAUAGAAACCGACCUGGCUCACGACGGUUGACCUCCCAGGAUCUGUAA
Molecule: ribosomal RNA, 126 nt
Filed under: Habroloma nana
Lineage: Eukaryota; Metazoa; Arthropoda; Insecta; Coleoptera; Buprestidae
Description: partial 16S ribosomal RNA
Source: RNAcentral